CAGAAUCCUUCCUUUGUGUCUCUUGCUACUCACCUGAAGGUUCUCCCCCCACUGGGCCUUGCCUUCCAGCAGAGCAUCCAGCACAGCCCGGCUUGGCUCGCCAUUGGCAGGGUCAUUCCCACUGACCACAUAGUAGGAUGCACGCACUCGGCGGAAGAAGUCCAGAUCAGCAGUCUUACCACUGCAGUGAUUUGGAAUAUAGGCAAGAUCCACGUACACAGGAGGGCCAGAGCCACCCUUGGAGCCCAAGGCUGCUGUAGAGACAAGCAGAAUGCAUUGUUAUAAAAAAGAGCCCAGCGGUGGCGAUGCACACCUUUAGUCCCAGCACUCAGGCAGAGGGAGGCAGGCGGAUCUCAGUGUGUCUCAGUAUGUCCAAGGCCAGCCUGGUCUACAGAGUGAGUUCCAGGACAGCCAGGACUACACAGAGAGAACCUGUCUCGAAAAAAACAUAAACAAAGAAUACUUGGUCACCUCCCCACUUUCUUGAACAGAACAGCUAGAGUCUUUAGCCAGCACGUAACUGCUCCGACCCACCGUGUUCCCAUUCCCGCUCUCCUAACAUACUCACUGGAGCCUGCCUUGAGUCCAUUGACGAAGCCUUUGGACAUGGGACUAUGUCCAUCCUUUUCUUCUGCUGAGGUGACCUGGCUUGGAGUGCUGCGUGGUCGGGGCAGGGCCCGAGAGGUUCGGUCUACAGGCCCUUUACCAGGGGAAAUUCUCCACUGUUCUCCAGGGACAUAGGCCACCAUGAACAAAAUGUAUGCUAAAAGUCAGCCUUCCUUUUGGGUGGAUAGCCCCAAGCCUCUUGAGGACAUCAUAGCAAAAUUCUGAAGCGUUCAGUAGGUGUUUCUAUACCGACGCUUGUUUCCAAGAAGUGCCUGAGAAUGCGUCUCCCUGCAAACCACUUCCCAAGCAUUCCCUUCAUCUUAAUCUGAAGAAUAGCUAAGGAUUUUGUCUUAAGUUCCAUUCAUUUCUUACAUUGCUUAAAGUCUUUAUGGCCAAAAGGACAAGGCUAGAGCAUUUGGUGUGAAUUCCUAAUAAAAAACAACCCCAAACAUCA
Long non-coding RNA from Peromyscus eremicus (cactus mouse), 1060 nucleotides. RefSeq lists it as uncharacterized. Lineage: Eukaryota; Metazoa; Chordata; Mammalia; Rodentia; Cricetidae. The transcript has 2 exons. The record is from RefSeq and is a predicted model, not a curated record.